RNAcentral lists this ribosomal RNA (142 nucleotides) under uncultured eukaryote. Its description in RNAcentral is "partial 18S ribosomal RNA". It matches the Rfam family "Eukaryotic small subunit ribosomal RNA", at positions 1299 to 1458 of the family's 1831-position model. The record is from RNAcentral.
UGGUGGAGUGAUUUGUCUGGUUAAUUCCGUUAACGAACGAGACCUCGACCUGCUAAAUAGUUCGGGAAAUUCUCCGGGAUUUCUACGUGACUUCUUAGAGGGACUAUCGGUGUGUAGCCGAUGGAAGUUCGAGGCAAUAACA